Molecule: ribosomal RNA, 884 nt
Filed under: Streptococcus salivarius
Lineage: Bacteria; Bacillati; Bacillota; Bacilli; Lactobacillales; Streptococcaceae
Description: bacterial SSU rRNA
Rfam family: Bacterial small subunit ribosomal RNA
Source: RNAcentral
AAGAGAGGAGCUUGCUCUUCUUGGAUGAGUUGCGAACGGGUGAGUAACGCGUAGGUAACCUGCCUUGUAGCGGGGGAUAACUAUUGGAAACGAUAGCUAAUACCGCAUAACAAUGGAUGACACAUGUCAUUUAUUUGAAAGGGGCAAUUGCUCCACUACAAGAUGGACCUGCGUUGUAUUAGCUAGUAGGUGAGGUAACGGCUCACCUAGGCGACGAUACAUAGCCGACCUGAGAGGGUGAUCGGCCACACUGGGACUGAGACACGGCCCAGACUCCUACGGGAGGCAGCAGUAGGGAAUCUUCGGCAAUGGGGGCAACCCUGACCGAGCAACGCCGCGUGAGUGAAGAAGGUUUUCGGAUCGUAAAGCUCUGUUGUAAGUCAAGAACGAGUGUGAGAGUGGAAAGUUCACACUGUGACGGUAGCUUACCAGAAAGGGACGGCUAACUACGUGCCAGCAGCCGCGGUAAUACGUAGGUCCCGAGCGUUGUCCGGAUUUAUUGGGCGUAAAGCGAGCGCAGGCGGUUUGAUAAGUCUGAAGUUAAAGGCUGUGGCUCAACCAUAGUUCGCUUUGGAAACUGUCAAACUUGAGUGCAGAAGGGGAGAGUGGAAUUCCAUGUGUAGCGGUGAAAUGCGUAGAUAUAUGGAGGAACACCGGUGGCGAAAGCGGCUCUCUGGUCUGUAACUGACGCUGAGGCUCGAAAGCGUGGGGAGCGAACAGGAUUAGAUACCCUGGUAGUCCACGCCGUAAACGAUGAGUGCUAGGUGUUGGAUCCUUUCCGGGAUUCAGUGCCGCAGCUAACGCAUUAAGCACUCCGCCUGGGGAGUACGACCGCAAGGUUGAAACUCAAGGAAUUGACGGGGGCCCGCACAGCGGUGGAGCAU